UACGGAGGGUGCAAGCGUUAAUCGGAAUUACUGGGCGUAAAGCGCGCGUAGGCGGUUUUUUAAGUCGGAUGUGAAAGCCCCGGGCUCAACCUGGGAACUGCAUCCGAUACUGGAAGACUAGAAUGCGAGAGAGGGAGGUAGAAUUCCAUGUGUAGCAGUGAAAUGCGUAGAUAUAUGGAGGAAUACCAGUGGCGAAGGCGGCCUCCUGGCUCGACAUUGACGCUGAGGUGCGAAAGCGUGGGGAGCAAACGGG
Molecule: ribosomal RNA, 253 nt
Filed under: uncultured bacterium
Lineage: Bacteria
Description: partial 16S ribosomal RNA
Rfam family: Bacterial small subunit ribosomal RNA
Source: RNAcentral